RNAcentral lists this ribosomal RNA (440 nucleotides) under uncultured bacterium. RNAcentral describes it as "partial 16S ribosomal RNA". It matches the Rfam family "Bacterial small subunit ribosomal RNA", at positions 338 to 795 of the family's 1533-position model. The record is from RNAcentral.
CCUACGGGAGGCAGCAGUGGGGAAUAUUGCACAAUGGGGGAAACCCUGAUGCAGCGACGCCGCGUGAGUGAAGAAGUAUUUCGGUACGUAAAGCUCUAUCAGCAGGGAAGAAAAUGACGGUACCUGACUAAGAAGCCCCGGCUAACUACGUGCCAGCAGCCGCGGUAAUACGUAGGGGGCAAGCGUUAUCCGGAUUUACUGGGUGUAAAGGGAGCGUAGACGGCAGCGCAAGUCUGGAGUGAAAGCCCAUGGCUUAACCAUGGAACUGCAUUGGAAACUGUGCAGCUAGAGUGCAGGAGAGGAAAGCGGAAUUCCUAGUGUAGCGGUGAAAUGCGUAGAUAUUAGGAGGAACACCAGUGGCGAAGGCGGCUUACUGGACUGUAACUGACGUUGAGGCUCGAAAGCGUGGGGAGCAAACAGGAUUAGAUACCCCAGUAGUC